This 636-nucleotide unclassified non-coding RNA is filed under the name Hevea brasiliensis (rubber tree). The record is from RNAcentral. Lineage: Eukaryota; Viridiplantae; Streptophyta; Magnoliopsida; Malpighiales; Euphorbiaceae.
UAGUUGCACAGGCAAUGGCACACAUGCAAUCUCAGCAGUGCUUUCAUUUCAAGGUGCAUAUUGCAAAGAAAAUUGAAGGUACGAAUCUACACAAACAACCCAAGUGAAUUUUAUAGAGGAAGGAGAAGGGGAAGGGAAAGGAAGAAGCUACAUUUCAACAUAAGAAGGAUUUUAUGAGAUUUCAAACUGGUGAUAGGUUAUAGAAUUGCAUCCCAUAUGAUUGCAAAACGCUCAUAUACAAAUCUCAUAAUCUAGGGAUCUUCCUUAUUUUUUGCUUUACCCCUUGAAGCGAACUACAAUGCAGGAGAUGUCAUCCUUACUGUCUCUUUUCACUGCCUCUGCUGCUAGUUGCUUGGCUGCCUUUUCUGGGUCUUUUGUCUUUCUUGCUAUAUCAACUGCUUCUUGAUUAGACAUGACCUUCCAUAGACCAUCACUAGCAAGGAUGAGAAUCUCAGCAUCUGAGUCAAUAACAGUGUUCUGGAUGUCAGGGUCAGAUCGCAAGUGUGAUUUGAGGUUCUUAUCUCCAAAAGCUCGAGAAACUGCCAACUGGCCGUUCACUCUUGCAACGUCUCCUGGGAUGUUUGAGACAAAACCGCCUUUGUUCUCAAUGCUACCCCGCUCAGUGUUUGGCUCAUG